Molecule: ribosomal RNA, 809 nt
Filed under: uncultured bacterium
Lineage: Bacteria
Description: bacterial SSU rRNA
Rfam family: Bacterial small subunit ribosomal RNA
Source: RNAcentral
CGGAAACGGACGCUAAUACCGCAUAAUGCAGCGGCAUCGCAAGAUGACAGUUGUUAAAGGAGCAAUUCGCUUGAAGAGGAGCUUGCGGCAGAUUAGCUAGUUGGUAAGGUAAUGGCUUACCAAGGCUACGAUCUGUAACCGGUCUAAGAGGACGGUCGGUCACACUGACACUGAAUAACGGGUCAGACUCCUACGGGAGGCAGCAGUCGGGAAUUUUGGGCAAUGGGCGAAAGCCUGACCCAGCAACGCCGCGUGAAGGAUGAAGUAUUUCGGUAUGUAAACUUCGAAAGAAUAGGAAGAAUAAAUGACGGUACUAUUUAUAAGGUCCGGCUAACUACGUGCCAGCAGCCGCGGUAAUACGUAGGGACCAAGCGUUGUUCGGAUUUACUGGGCGUAAAGGGCGCGUAGGCGGCGCCGCAAGUCACUUGUGAAAUCUCCGGGCUUAACUCGGAACGGCCAAGUGAAACUGCGGUGCUAGAGUGCAGAAGGGGCAAUCGGAAUUCUUGGUGUAGCGGUGAAAUGCGUAGAUAUCAAGAGGAACACCUGAGGUGAAGACGGGUUGCUGGGCUGACACUGACGCUGAUGCGCGAAAGCCAGGGGAGCAAACGGGAUUAGAUACCCCGGUAGUCCUGGCCCUAAACGAUGAAUACUUGGUGUCUGGAGUUAUUAGUGCUCCGGGUGCCGUCGCUAACGUUUUUAGUAUUCCGCCUGGGGAGUACGCUCGCAAGAGUGAAACUCAAAGGAAUUGACGGGGACCCGCACAAGCGGUGGAGCAUGUGGUUUAAUUCGACGCAACGCGAAGAACCUUA